RNAcentral lists this ribosomal RNA (422 nucleotides) under uncultured bacterium. Its description in RNAcentral is "bacterial SSU rRNA". It matches the Rfam family "Bacterial small subunit ribosomal RNA", at positions 794 to 1230 of the family's 1533-position model. The record is from RNAcentral.
UCCACGCCGUAAACGAUGGAUACUAGCUGUUGGAGGUAUCGACCCCUUCAGUAGCGAAGCUAACGCGUUAAGUAUCCCGCCUGUGGAGUACGGUCGCAAGACUAAAACAUAAAGGAAUUGACGGGGACCCGCACAAGCGGUGGAUCGUGUUCUUUAAUUCGAUGAUAAACGAAGAACCUUACCAGGGUUUGACAUCCCGAGAAUUUCUGCGAAAGCAGAGAGUGCUUUAUUGAACUCGGUGACAGAUGAUGCAUGGCCGUCGUCAGCUCGUGUCGUGAGAUGUUUGGUUAAGUCCAUUAACGAGCGCAACCCUUGUGAAUAGUUGUAUUUUUCUAUUCAGACUGCCCCGGCAACGGGGAGGAAGGAGGGGAUGAGGUCAGGUCUGUAUUUCUCUUACAUCCUGGGCUAGAAACACGAUACAA